This is a non-coding RNA of Taeniopygia guttata (zebra finch), 2380 nucleotides long. Lineage: Eukaryota; Metazoa; Chordata; Aves; Passeriformes; Estrildidae. The record is from RefSeq and is a predicted model, not a curated record.
AUAAAUUAAUUUUUUAGAGUGCUCAUGGUUCUAAGUAAACCACUCAGAUCUUGGCAUCUGAAGACCCCAUACUUAUGUAUCUCUCCCUAAACAUUGCAUAAAAGCUCUAAUUGCCUUAAAGCUAUGGCAUCUUGUCACAACCUUAAGAGUCACAUCAAUCCCACUACUAUUGUUAUUGCCAAUACUAAGAGUAGUCCUAAUCUAAUUAAACGUGGACCUUACGCCUGAGCUAGUAAUCCUUUGGCUCUCUUAAGCACAGCAGAGAAAUAGUUACUUUUAGGGUGCAAUGUACCUUACUCUUAACUAGAAAUCCAAAAUAUGUCAGCAAACAAGACUGAUUUUCUUCAAGUGUGGGGGGUUUUGACUUUUGGGUUUGUUUUUAUUUUUUUUUUAGAAGAUUAUAAAAGUAAUGUUAAAAUUAGCUGAGGACUAGCACAAAAGGCAUAGGCACCUACAAUUACCUGACGUAAAUCAUUCUUUAUUUCUCUGUUUUAACUUAGCUCUUUGUUAGAGACAAAAUGUACUUUUCUUAAAUAAAGAACUAUGAGGGGUAGUUUUGUCAUUUACCAGUUUAGGAAAGCAUUGACCUUCAUUUUGUACUUUGUGAAUAAAUUUGGGGGGUUUUAGGGGAUGUUUUUUUGUUUUGUUUCAGUUGAUUUUUUUGUUCAUGAGGGAUUUUUUCUUUGCUUCUUUUCUAUUUUUCUUCUAUUUUUUUCUCAUCAAUGUUUUUCUUUUUUUUUUUUUUUAAUUAGUCUUAUUCUCUAGGGUUUCUUUAUUGGAGAGAAAGUGAUCAUGACCUUUAUUGUCUCAUCAGCUGCCAUGCUGGUAGAGACAAGCAAUAACUGAAAUUGAAGAGAUAUUUAGCUAUUGAAUCCUACAACUGUUCAUGCAAACUCCUCUUAUAUGCCAGGACAGCAUGCUGUUGGUUGUUUUUCAUGGUGGUUUUUUGUUUUUUUUUUUUUUUUUUGUUUGUUUUAUCAAGUUAGCAUAACUGGUUCAUAUUGUCAUCAACAGAUCAGAGCAGACCAAGUGACAAAAUCUGUCUGUGCAUGAGAUAAGUCACCACUUUAUUGUCAGCAAUAGUGUGGAAUAUCCAAAGACAUUAUGAAAUAAGGAGAAAAUAACUUACUAAUUCAUUAUUGAUUUUCUGGUAUGAUCUUGUCUGAUAUCACAACAACACAAGACAAAAUGAGAAUUAUCUGAUCUUUGGUUUAUCAAUAAAUCUCAUUUGUUAGAAAGUGUCACAAACCUAAGCCGAAUCCUACAGCUAAGUAGCUUCUUAACUGUUGAUUCUGCACUGAUUUUGUCUCGUCUUUGCAGAUAUUGAAGACCACUGUGUCUGAUUAUUGGCCAUGAAAUACAAACUAUCAUGGAGGUCAGGACUGGAUUCUUGUGGUUUGGAUUUUCACAGGGAGUGAACAUUGUGAAGAACAGUGAACUAGUAUCAUUCAGAUAUUGUUCAAGAACAUAAUUUAAGAAAGAGCCUUAAAGCUGAUUAAAUCAAAUGCAGAUGCAGAACUGGUGCAAAACAGAUGCUGAAAAACCAUGUCAAUAUCCUAAAGGAAUCCAUUCCGUAUCAGAAGGAAACUUAAUUUCUACUAUAAAGAAUUUGAUUAUGUAUUGUUAUACCAAAUGUGAUUAAUGUUUUGUGGUGAUUAAUCAACUGCAAAAUAUAUAAUUAUGCCAUCUGUAUUUUUCCAGCUUCUUGUCACUUAAGAAUUACACUGAGGAGUGGGAGGUGGGAUAAUGAGCACUGGUGGCAUUUAGAGUGCUUAAAGCUACGCUCCAAAAGCCUGAGGAAUCCACUACCAAAAAGAACUGGCAUUUAUUCUAAUAGCAAAACCUCUAAGCGUAUUAAGUAAGAACCCAGAAGACCCAUUGGCUUGAUAGCUACUUAUGUGGAAGACCCAGUUAUGGAGUUCAAACAGCCUGGGACCCAUGAGGGCUUGCUCCAAUUCAAAGGUAACCUAUUAAGACCCCAGGAGAGUAUUCAGAAUUUGACUUUUGGACUACCUCCUGCUGUCUGAUUUAUGAAACAGACCUGACACUGAUGCAGGGAUCAUCGACUGUCUUCUGGUUGCAUGUAAAGUGAGGUAUAUUUGCAGUGACAGUUGCAAGCAAAGAAUAACUCUAACUACUUACAUAUAUUUUAUUUUUUUUCCCUCCAGGGAAAGCAAUUAUUUAGGUUCAGAUCUGAGGUAAGACACUUGGCCCACAAAAUCAUCUAUCAAACCAAAGAGAUGCCUUUUCAAAAUGUCAUGCAGAAUUAAGGUAAAAGAGGUAAAAAUCAAGCUUCCUUUGGGAAGCUGGUACCAACACAGUACAGAGUGGUCAGUAUCAGUCUUUUAUCUAUUCUCAAAUUAAAAUACAUCAUUUGGGA